UACAAGUAUCUAUCUAGAUCAAGCUUGAACCUUUCUUCUCAUUUUAGAUCUAUCUUCUCUAAGAUGAAUCUCAACCUUUUAGAUCUUUGAUCAACCGUUGAUAUUUAUCCACGAUCUCAAUACUUGAAUAGCAGCCUUUCUUCCUAUUCCUUGAUGUAGAAGAGAUCACCCAACACCUUGGGUGCAUGGGAAGAUGGGAUGCCUAACACCUUUGGCAUUGAAGAGAGAGGAGAAAGAGAGGAUGGCAUGAAGA
This 253-nucleotide long non-coding RNA is filed under the name Elaeis guineensis (African oil palm). RNAcentral's name for it is "long non-coding RNA (EGUI_LNC047608)". Lineage: Eukaryota; Viridiplantae; Streptophyta; Magnoliopsida; Arecales; Arecaceae. The record is from RNAcentral.